GAUGAACGCUGGCGGCGUGCCUAAUACAUGCAAGUCGAGCGAACAGACGAGGAGCUUGCGCCUGUGACGUUAGCGGCGGACGGGUAAGUAACACGUGAGUAACCCACCUAUAUGACUUGGAUAACUUCGGGUAACCGGAGUAAAUGCCGGAUAAUCCUUCGAAACGACUGGUUCUAUAGUGAAAGAUCGCUUUGCGAUCACUUAUCGACGGAUCUGCGUCGUAUUAGCUAGUUGGUAAGGUAACGGCUUACCAAGGCAACGAUACGUAGCCGACCGGAGAGGGUGAGCAGCCACCCUGGAAGUGUGACACGGUCCAGAGUCCUACGGGAGGCGGCAGUAGGGAAACUUCCGCAAUGGGCGGAAGCCUGACGGAGCAACGCCACGUGAGGGAGGAGGGUCUUCGGAUCGUAAAACUCUGUUAUUGGGGAAGAACAAACGUGUAGGUAACUGGGCACGACUUGACGGUACCUAAUCAGAAAGCCACGGCCAACUACGUG
This 497-nucleotide ribosomal RNA is filed under the name uncultured bacterium. RNAcentral's name for it is "partial 16S ribosomal RNA". It matches the Rfam family "Bacterial small subunit ribosomal RNA", at positions 28 to 507 of the family's 1533-position model. The record is from RNAcentral.